CACUGGAGGCAGCGGUUCAUCGAUCACUUUGUGCAAAUUUUGUUGUGAAAAAUAACACAAAAUACAUGAAUCGAUCGAUAAACCUCUGCAUCCAGC
This is a non-coding RNA of Citrus sinensis (sweet orange), 96 nucleotides long. The record is from Rfam. Lineage: Eukaryota; Viridiplantae; Streptophyta; Magnoliopsida; Sapindales; Rutaceae.